UACUCAAUAUAAUGUUUCAUAAUAAAAAUAAUGAAAUAUAUAAAAACUUUCAAAAACUAAUACAAUGAACACCUUUAUAUACAUAAUUCAGUUUGGGAGGCUGAGAAGUCCAAGAGCAUCAUGCCAGCCCCUCCUUGCUUCUGGUGAGGCCUUGGUGCUGCAUCCUAACAGGGUGAAAAUGCAGAGGGCCAGUGAGAGUGUGUGGAUAAAGCAAAACAGGAGGGGCACUGACCUCUGAAGCAACAAGGCCUUCUGUCUUCUAGAGUUUCACUUUCUGGAUUUGACUUGUGAUGGUGUUUUCAGUGAAGUUUUGAAGAAGGAUAAAAAAACCCUGGAACUUGAGCUGGAGCCCCUGGGCUGUCCCAAGGCACAGACCUACUGCCUAGAGGGUGUGAGGGAGGAAGGAAACUCAAAAAGAAGUCUAAUAAAACUACUCCUUUAAUCUUGACAUCAUCUGGAGCAUACAGUCAUCUAUACCAAAAAGAGAAACUUGGGCACUUCUCAGAGUAAGCGUUUCUGCACUGUUAAUGUGGUUUGGAGUCACCCUAUCAAGCUGGUAUGACCAUGAAUAAAGAAGAUGAGCUGCUAAGGAAGAGGUUGAGGGACAGCCGGUGUUUGUUUUAAGCCAAUUUUCUAUAAUCCCUGUCACUAGAAACAGAGGGCCAGUGGAUAAAGCAUGAAAUCUGUGUUUAAAGCCAAAGGUGUGGGUUCUAUUGCUGAUUUUGUCAUCAUUUUGACCUUUUAGGAAAGAGAUGAAAUGAAAAUGUUUGCCUUGUAUCUUUCUGUCCAGGAUGUAAUAGACCAAAACAUAAGAGAAAAAUGUAGGCUUCCCUAAAGUAACACAUUAAGUAAACGUCAGGUGGUAUCACCCCAAAGGUCUUCUAGCCAUAAUAAUUUCACUUGAAAUCUAUUUAUUUAGGAAACAGAAGACAGAAAGCCCUGGAGCUUCAAACUGAUACUCCUUUAAUGCACCUAUGUUAAAAUAUUUCCAGGACUGUAGGCAAAAUAAGUCCACUGGAAGAUUAAGAAAACAUCUGUGUCUACAAAUUGAGCUUCCUUAUAGUGUCAAGAUGUAUCUUCAACUAUUUCAUGUAAAGACGUAUAAGGUGGACACGGUGGUACACUUCUAUAAUCUC
Long non-coding RNA from Marmota flaviventris (yellow-bellied marmot), 1136 nucleotides. RefSeq lists it as uncharacterized. The record is from RefSeq and is a predicted model, not a curated record. Lineage: Eukaryota; Metazoa; Chordata; Mammalia; Rodentia; Sciuridae.